Molecule: long non-coding RNA, 1017 nt
Organism: Zalophus californianus (California sea lion)
Lineage: Eukaryota; Metazoa; Chordata; Mammalia; Carnivora; Otariidae
Exons: 6
Source: RefSeq, a predicted model, not a curated record
CUCUUGAAGUCACAAGAAAGUAAAGUCUCUGAAGCCUCCCCACGCUGUGACUUAUCCACGUCCAGGAUACGUUCUCCUCGACCCACCAGAAAUGCUCACCAUCCAAGCCUGCAGAUGGAGAUGAAUUAGAUUUUAGAAGAUUGAUUGCCGUGUGAACUGAUGGCCAAAACACUCUGGAUGUUGGACCAGCCAAUUUCUGAAUCCAACACAGCUGCCAUGCUCCGUCUUUCAUGGGAUAGGAGGCAUGGGUUGCCAUGUUUCUAACUGGAGGAGGAGACCUGGGGACUCUGGGUAGCUCUGAAAUUUGAACACCAUGAUUUGCUUGCAAGUUGCCCAGAGCCUCUGGGACUAAAGCCAAAAAGGUCAGCACCAAAAUGUGGAAGUAGACAUUGGUGAUGACAAAUGACAGCCCACAAGAGGACACACAAUGGUGAGGGAUAAAGGCACUAAGCUCUGAACUGUGUUUUACCUCCCUUGCUGGAUCCAGAUUGUACUAGCAACUUCGAGAGGGCUGAGUGGGGUACGAGAAGUGAUGGAACCAGAACAUCUACACCAGGUUCAGAUGACCACUCCAGCCCUUGCUCUGUGAUCUUAAGUGACAAGUGACUGUGACUUCUGUCUUGCUAGCAAAUGCUCUCUUUUGCUGUCUUUCAUGGAGUAAGCUGAUAUAUUAGAGAGGCCCCCAAGGAAAGAAACUGAAGAUGGCCUAAGACCAAGAGCCAGGUAGGAACGAAGACCCUCAGUCCAACAAGCCUUGAGGAGCUGAAUCCCACCAACGACUACGUGAGUGAGCUUGCAAGCAGAUCUGCGCCGCUUGAGCCUGUAGUAAUGAUACUCCAACCCUGGCUUACACCUUGACUGCCGGCUCACGAGAGACCCCUGAGGCACACAACCCAGUUAAGCCAUGCUCAGAUUUCUGACCUCUUAUAGUAAAUAACAAUAAAUGAUAAUAAAUCAUAAAUGUGUUGUUUUAAGCUGCCAAGUUUUGGAGUGACUAUGUAAUUGCAUGACAAUAGA